GGACGAACGCUGGCGGCGUGCUUACCCCCUGCAAGUCGAACGGAAAGGCCCUGCUUUUGUGGGGUGCUCGAGUGGCGAACGGGUGAGUAACACGUGAGUAACCUGCCCUUGACUUUGGGAUAACUUCAGGAAACUGGGGCUAAUACCGGAUAGGAGCUCCUGCUGCAUGGUGGGGGUUGGAAAGUUUCGGCGGUUGGGGAUGGACUCGCGGCUUAUCAGCUUGUUGGUGGGGUAGUGGCUUACCAAGGCUUUGACGGGUAGCCGGCCUGAGAGGGUGACCGGCCACAUUGGGACUGAGAUACGGCCCAGACUCCUACGGGAGGCAGCAGUGGGGAAUAUUGCACAAUGGGCGGAAGCCUGAUGCAGCAACGCCGCGUGCGGGAUGACGGCCUUCGGGUUGUAAACCGCUUUCGCCUGUGACGAAGCGUGAGUGACGGUAAUGGGUAAAGAAGCACCGGCUAACUACGUG
RNAcentral lists this ribosomal RNA (469 nucleotides) under uncultured bacterium. Its description in RNAcentral is "partial 16S ribosomal RNA". It matches the Rfam family "Bacterial small subunit ribosomal RNA", at positions 27 to 507 of the family's 1533-position model. The record is from RNAcentral.